Molecule: ribosomal RNA, 443 nt
Filed under: uncultured bacterium
Lineage: Bacteria
Description: bacterial SSU rRNA
Rfam family: Bacterial small subunit ribosomal RNA
Source: RNAcentral
AACGCGAAGAACCUUACCUACCCUUGACAUGGUCAGGACCCUGCUGAAAGGCGGGGGUGCCCGAAAGGGAACUGAUACACAGGUGCUGCAUGGCUGUCGUCAGCUCGUGUCGUGAGAUGUUGGGUUAAGUCCCGCAACGAGCGCAACCCUUAUCCCUAGUUGCCAUCGGGUCAAGCCGGGCACUCUAGUGAAACCGCCCGGGAUAACCGGGAGGAAGGUGGGGAUGACGUCAAGUCCUCAUGGCCUUUAUGUCCAGGGCUACACACGUGCUACAAUGGUCGGUACAAACCGUCGCAAACCCGCGAGGGGGAGCUAAUCGGAAAAAGCCGGCCUCAGUUCGGAUUGGAGUCUGCAACCCGACUCCAUGAAGCUGGAAUCGCUAGUAAUCGCGGAUCAGAACGCCGCGGUGAAUACGUUCCCGGGCCUUGUACACACCGCGCAUA